Molecule: ribosomal RNA, 1370 nt
Filed under: metagenome
Description: bacterial LSU rRNA
Rfam family: Bacterial large subunit ribosomal RNA
Source: RNAcentral
GGGCGUGCCGUAGGCAAGAAGUGACUGGGCUCAGCUGCCAAGAAAAGCCUCUAAGCGAAGAAGUUCUGGCGUCCGUACCGCAGACCGACACAGGUGGGCAGGUAGAGGAUACCAAGGCGAACGGGAGAACCCUCGUUGAGGAAUUAGGCAAAUUAGCCCCGUAACUUCGGGAGAAGGGGCGCCUCUGGGGGUGAGCUAUAAGCAUAGGGAGCCCGUGGAGGCCGCAGAGGAAUGGCUCUAGUGACUGGUUACCAAAACCACAGGUCUCUGCAAACGCGGAAGCGGCAGUAUAGGGGCUGACACCUGCCCAGUGCCGGAAGGUUAAAGGGAGGGGUAAGCGGAAGCGAAGCUCUGAACUGAAGCCCCGGUGAACGGCGGCCGUAACAAUAACGGUCCUAAGGUAGCGAAAUUCCUUGUCGGGUAAGUUCCGACCCGCACGAAAGGUGUAACAACUAGAGCACUGUCUCAACGAGGGGCCCGGCGAAAUUGAAGACGCGGUAAAGAUGCCGUGUACCCGCAGCAGGACAAAAAGACCCCGUGGAGCUUUACUGCAGUUUGGCACUGGAUUAGGGUUGCGUUUGUGUAGGAUAGGUGGGAGGCGGAGAAGCUGGGACGCGAGUUUCGGUGGAGCCGACGGUGAAAUACCACCCUGGCGCAACUUUGAUUCUAACCUAGGCCCGUGAACCGGGUUGGGGACCGUGCCAGGCGGGCAGUUUGACUAGGGUGGUCGCCUCCCAAAAGGUAACGGAGGCGCUCAAAGGUUCCCUCAGGUGGCAUGGAAACCCACCGGAGAGUGCAAAGGCAAAAGGGAGCUUGACUGUGAGGCUGACCAGCCGAGCAGGGACGCAAGUCGGACUUAGUGAUCCCACGGUACCGAGUGGAAGGGCCGUGGCUUACCGGAUAAAAGCUACCCCGGGGAUAACAGGGUGGUGAGGCCCAAGAGUUCACAUCGACGGCCUCGCUCGCCACCUCGAUGUCGGCUCGUCACAUCCUGGGGCUGGACAAGGUCCCAAGGGUUGGACUGCUCGUCCAUUAAAGUGGCACGCGAGCUGGGUUCAGACCGUCGUGAGACAGGUCGGUCUCUAUCCGCUGUGGGCGAAGGGGAUUUGAGGGGAGCUGCCUUCAGUACGAGAGGACCAGGGUGGACGGACCGCUGGUGUGCCAGUUGUGGCGCCAGCCGCAUCGCUGGGUAGCCAGGUCCGGCAGGGAUAACCGCUGAAAGCAUCUAAGUGGGAAGCCCGCCCCAAGAUGGGAUCCCCCACACCGGGAAGGUGGUAAGACCGCGGGAAGACGACCCGUUAGAUAGGCAGGGAGUGGAAGCGUUGUAAAGCGUGGAGCUAACCUGUACUAAAGGUCGAGGGCUUCUUCCG